UUUGACGAGUCGAGUUGUUUGGGAAUGCAGCUCCAAGCGGGUGGUAAAUUCCAUCUAAAGCUAAAUACUGGCGAGAGACCGAUAGCGAACAAGUACUGUGAAGGAAAGAUGAAAAGCACUUUGAAAAGAGAGUGAAACAGCACGUGAAAUUGUUGAAAGGGAAGGGUAUUGCGCCCGACAUGGGGAUUGCGCUCCGCUGCCUCUCGUGGGCGGCGCUUUGGGCUUUCCCUGGGCCAGCAUCGGUUCUUGCUGCAGGAGAAGGGGUUCUGGAACGUGGCUCUUCGGAGU
RNAcentral lists this ribosomal RNA (288 nucleotides) under Pichia kudriavzevii. Its description in RNAcentral is "partial 26S ribosomal RNA". It matches the Rfam family "Eukaryotic large subunit ribosomal RNA", at positions 256 to 550 of the family's 3401-position model. Lineage: Eukaryota; Fungi; Ascomycota; Pichiomycetes; Pichiales; Pichiaceae. The record is from RNAcentral.